AUUGAACGCUGGCGGCAUGCCUUACACAUGCAAGUCGAACGGCAGCACGGGUGCUUGCACCUGGUGGCGAGUGGCGAACGGGUGAGUAAUACAUCGGAACAUGUCCUGUAGUGGGGGAUAGCCCGGCGAAAGCCGGAUUAAUACCGCAUACGAUCUACGGAUGAAAGCGGGGGCCCUUCGGGCCUCGCGCUAUAGGAUUGGCCGAUGGCUGAUUAGCUAGUUGGUGGGGUAAAGGCCUACCAAGGCGACGAUCAGUAGCUGGUCUGAGAGGACGACCAGCCACACUGGGACUGAGACACGGCCCAGACUCCUACGGGAGGCAGCAGUGGGGAAUUUUGGACAAUGGGCGAAAGCCUGAUCCAGCAAUGCCGCGUGUGUGAAGAAGGCCUUCGGGUUGUAAAGCACUUUUGUCCGGAAAGAAAUCCUUGGCCCUAAUACGGUCGGGGGAUGACGGUACCGGAAGAAUAAGCACCGGCUAACUACGUG
This 486-nucleotide ribosomal RNA is filed under the name uncultured bacterium. RNAcentral describes it as "partial 16S ribosomal RNA". It matches the Rfam family "Bacterial small subunit ribosomal RNA", at positions 30 to 507 of the family's 1533-position model. The record is from RNAcentral.